Molecule: ribosomal RNA, 460 nt
Filed under: uncultured bacterium
Lineage: Bacteria
Description: partial 16S ribosomal RNA
Rfam family: Bacterial small subunit ribosomal RNA
Source: RNAcentral
CCUACGGGAGGCAGCAGUGAGGAAUAUUGGUCAAUGGACGCAAGUCUGAACCAGCCAUGCCGCGUGCAGGAAGACGGCUCUAUGAGUUGUAAACUGCUUUUGUACGAGGGUAAACGCAGAUACGCGUAUCUGUCUGAAAGUAUCGUACGAAUAAGGAUCGGCUAACUCCGUGCCAGCAGCCGCGGUAAUACGGAGGAUUCAAGCGUUAUCCGGAUUUAUUGGGUUUAAAGGGUGCGUAGGCGGUCGGAUAAGUUAGAGGUGAAAACCCCAGGCUCAACUUCGGAAUUGCCUCUGAUACUGUUCGGCUAGAGAGUAGUUGCGGUAGGCGGAAUGUAUGGUGUAGCGGUGAAAUGCUUAGAGAUCAUACAGAACACCGAUUGCGAAGGCAGCUUACCAAGCUACUUCUGACGUUGAGGCACGAAAGCGUGGGGAGCAAACAGGAUUAGAUACCCUAGUAGUC